This 1329-nucleotide ribosomal RNA is filed under the name Priestia endophytica. RNAcentral describes it as "bacterial SSU rRNA". It matches the Rfam family "Bacterial small subunit ribosomal RNA". The record is from RNAcentral. Lineage: Bacteria; Bacillati; Bacillota; Bacilli; Caryophanales; Bacillaceae.
UGCAAGUCGAGCGGAGAUUUGAAAAGCUUGCUUUUCAAAUCUCGGCGGACGGGUGAGCACGUGGGCAACCUGCCCUUGAGACGGGGACUCCGGGAAACCGGAGCUAAUACCGGACACAUAUCUUCGCAUGAUGAUAUGUUAGAAGGUGGCUUUCUACCACUCAAGGAUGGGCCCGCGGCGCAUCUAGUUGGUGAGGUAACGGCUCACCAAGGCGACGAUGCGCCGACCGAGGGUGAUCGGCCACACUGGGACGACACGGCCCAGACUCCUACGGGAGGCAGCAGUAGGGAAUCUUCCGCAAUGGACGAAAGUCUGACGGAGCAACGCCGCGUGAGUGAUGAAGGUUUUCGGAUCGUAAAGCUCUGUUGUGGAAGAACAAGUAUCUGUAUAAGCAGGUACCUUGACGGUACCCCAGAAAGCCACGGCCUACGUGCCAGCAGCCGCGGUAAUACGGUGGCAAGCGUUGUCCGGAAUUAUUGGGCGAGCGCGCGCAGGCGGUUCCUUAAGUCUGAUGUGAAAGCCCACGGCUCAACCGUGGAGGGUCAUUGGAAACUGGGGAACUUGAGUGCAGAAGAGGAGAGCGGAAUUCCACGUGUAGCGGUGAAAUGCGUAGAGAUGUGGAGGAACACCAGUGGCGAAGGCGGCUCUCUGGUCUGUAACCGCGGCGCGAAAGCGUGGGGAGCGAACAGGAUUAGAUACCCUGGUAGUCCACGCCGUAAACGAGUGCUAAGUGUUAGAGGGUUUCCGCCCUUUAGUGCUGCAGCAAACGCAUUAAGCACUCCGCCUGGGGAGUACGGUCGCAAGACUGAAACUCAAAGGAAUCGGGGACCCGCACAAGCGGUGGAGCAUGUGGUUUUCGAAGCAACGCGAAGAACCUUACCAGGUCUUGACAUCCUCUGCUACUUCAGAAAGGUUCCCUUCGGGGACAGAGUGACAGGUGGUGCAUGGUUGUCGUCAGCUCGUGUCGUGAGAUGUUGGGUUAAGUCCCGCAACGAGCGCAACCCUUCUUUGCCAGCAUUCAGUUGGGCACUCGGUGACUGCCGGCAAACCGGAGGAAGGUGGGGACGUCAAAUCAUCAUGCCCCUUAUGACCUGGGCUACACACGUGCUACAAUGGAUGGUACAAAGGGCUGCAAAACCGCGAGGUGCCAAUCCCAUAAAACCAUUCUCAGUUCGGAUUGUAGGCUGCAACUCGCCUACAAGCCGGAAUCGCUCGCGGAUCAGCAUGCCGCGGAUACGUUCCCGGGUCUUGUACACACCGCCCGUCACACCACGAGAGUUUGUAACACCCGAAGUCGGUGAGGUAACCUUUGGAGCCAGCCGCCGAAGG